RNAcentral lists this long non-coding RNA (9415 nucleotides) under Vitis vinifera (wine grape). RNAcentral's name for it is "long non-coding RNA (VVIN_LNC004286)". The record is from RNAcentral. Lineage: Eukaryota; Viridiplantae; Streptophyta; Magnoliopsida; Vitales; Vitaceae.
AAAAGCUUGUGGGGGACAUAUAAAGGGGAAUUGUUGGGUGGUGACGGUUGAACUUAACCAAACCACACCCAAACCCAAGGGUUAAAACCUAACUCAUGGUCCAAGAAUCUAACCCUAGGGUUCUGCUGCUUCUACUUCCAUGUAUAUAAAGGGGUAAAGGGGCAAGUUAACUCUGCCGCAGCCACUUGCCAUCUCUUCUCUUCUCUGGAGCUUCCUUGAGCGAAAAUCAAUUUUAUAAUACCUUUUCUCCGUUCCUUCUGUUUAUUAUUUGAUAUUAUAUUUGUUUGUUUGUAUAUUAUAAUCCAAAUCCGAGUGGGUGUCGGGAGAUGGUAAAGCAAAUGACGAGAAUUUUGGAAACUGAGAAGCUCGUGACGUUGAUCAAUCAUACUUCCAUGACUCCGAUGCUUUUCCUCUUCACCCUCUUCUAUCAUUCUCCCUCUAUUUCUUCUCCGUCUUGUAUUGAUUUUUCAAUAUAUCCUUCAUCAGAUUUUUCUUUUCGUUUGAUUUGUGGUUUUUUUUUUUUGUUUUUAAUCAUUUCUUGAUUGUAUGUUGAAAUUUUAGGUUGUGUUUGGUUCUCUGGAAAAUUGUUUGAUUGAAUAGAAAACUCAAAUUUGGGAUUCAAUCUUCACAGAAAAUUAUUUUGAAGUUAGAUGAUAUGUUUGUGAGAUUGAUGGUUGAGCAACACAACAUGUAUGUUGAUGAAUUUAAUGAUGUGAAAGUAGACUGUUAUUAUAAUACAUAGUAGAAUGGGCAUGAGAAUGAGUUGACAAACAUACUAAGAUGGUGGCAUGGUGAUGGAAAAUGAAAGAAAGAUUAAAAAAUUGCAUUUCAUGAUUUUUAUGUGUGAUUUUGAGGUUUUGCAAAGAUGAAUCUUAUUAUUUUAAGGUUAUGUUUGGUUUUAGGGAAAUACUAAGAAAAUAAAAAAAAAUGUAAAAGAUAAAUGAUUUUGUUUUUCUUUGAAAAGUAUAAAAGAAAAUCAAAUAUGAUUAAAUUUGUAUGUAUUUUUAUAUUAUUUAAUCUUUAUAUAAGUAAAAUAAAAUAAGUAAUAAAUAAAAGUAAUUUAAUAAUUUUUAAUCUGUUUUUUAUUUUUACCUUUUUUUCUUUGUAUUUCUUUUUUCAAUUUUUUUAAGAAGAUGAUAUCAAAAUAGUGAGAUUUCACUGAACUUAAAGGUUAAAGAAAUAUUGUGAAUACAAUUUAACUUUUCCUUUUAUUUCGAAAAAAAAGAAAAACAUUAUUGAAAUUAUUUUUAUUGAAUUAAUUAAACAUAUAAUUUAUUUUUGAAGGGUUAGAAGUCUUCAAUAUUGCUCAUAUGAAAAUGUUAUUUUAGGAGAGAAAAAAAGUCUACAAACAGUUCAGAUAUUAGUAUAGAUAAGAAAGCCUAAGAGAUUUAAAUUAAUAAAGAAACAAAAUAUAAUAAUCUAAACUUUUUUUAAAAAUGAUCUUUAACCAAUUGCAAUAUUUCUAGAAAAUACAUAAGCUUCAAUUUUAUGUAUUAAUAGAAUGAUAUAAAGAAAAAAAAAUCACAUACAAAAUUACACAAAAUUUUAACAUGAUUUGACUAAUUAUGACUAUAUUUAUAAAUCAGUAAUCAUAUCUAUAUUUAAGCGGAAUCAUAUACUACUUUUGUUUGGUAAUUGUUUUUGAAAAUAAUUUUGAAAAAUAGUUUUUGAAAAUUAUUAUUUGGUUUUUGAAAAUAAUUUUGAAGAACAGUUUUUGAAAAUUAUUAUUUGAUUUUUGUAAAACAAAAAUUUGUUUGGAAACCUAAAAUGUUUUUAAUAUUUUUAAAUAUAUUUUAAAAAUAAUUUUUAUAUCUAAUAUUUUGUUCCCAAAGAGGCCCUUCAUGGUUCUUUGUUUCUAAUAUCUACACCUUGAAUUUUAAGUCAUAUUCUAUGUCGAGCAUGCUCCUUUGGGUGUUUCACGUGCUCUCUUAUUGUUCUACCUAUCUCAUAUAAUUUUUUCAAUCUCAAACUAAUAUUAUAAUAUUUCCCUCUAAUAAUUUAAAAUAUUCAUAGCUAUAACUUAAAAAAAAAACAUUUUUGCACAAAGAAAUACCAAUGCAUAAAAUACUCCAUAAAUUAUUAUUUACUAGAAGAAUGUAUGAUAAAUAAGAAUUUGAGGCAUAUAUUCCUAUAAUAUCUUUUCUUUAUAAAAAAAAAACAUAUAUCCAUGAAGAAAUAUCCAUAUGUAAUACUCAAUAUAAUAUUUUUUCUACCAAAAAGAAUCUAUAGGAAACUUGAAACACUUCAAUAAUUUAUGGGAUCAAUUACUAUAUUUAACAUAACCAUACACACAAGCAAAAAAACAAAAAUAAAAAAUAAAAAAUAAGAGAUUUUGAGGUGGUUUGAUAAUUAAUGUGAUUUCUCUCCAUGGAACACAGUAACACUCAAUAAUUCAUUUAUCUACGGAAGGUAGAAAAUGUUAUAAUGGUGAAACCGGUCACACACUAUUUUCUUUUACUUUUUAACUAAACCCUAAAUCAUAAAAGGGUUAAAUACCAGCGGGGGCUCAUCAUUCAACAAAUAAAAAAAUAUCUCCAAGGGAUGUUGCCCCUUCAACCCUAUGAGCCUAAACAACUCAAGCAUUGGGAGCUCAACAAGGAACUCGACUAGACAUCCUUUGCAUAGCGUAAUAAAGCCGAUUCAGGCUUCACAACAAUUGUAUAAUUUGAAUUAUGAUCCUCAUACAUUUAAAGAUUAUAUUCUUGGUAGCAAGUGUGAUACCUCACAUUAGAUAAAAGAAAGAGUUUUAACAGUUAUAUAGUUAUAUAUGUAUAGACUUUUUUUAACCUUAUAAAUGUGUUUUAAAGUCAUUAUGGUCUUUUGGGCUUAUAUUAAAUAAUAUCUACAUGAUUGAGGUUAGUUGUUUUUCACAAAGCUGGCCAACAAUGGUAAUGUUUCAAUACACUUUUUAUGCUUUAUUUUUUAUAAAAGGGAAUUUCUUAUAUAAAAUAUGAAUCUUAUACAAAAAGUAAAUAAAUACCUCAUAUAUUUAAAAAUACUUUUUAAAAUUAUAAAAAUUAGAGAAAAUAAGAAAAUUUCAUUUUCUCCAACUAUUAAAACUUGGAGAAGUGUUCUUAAGAACACAAGGUGAUUUCUUUUCCCCCUAAUUUGUACUUCCAUCAUUCUUAGAAAAAUAGGACCAGGAAUUGGCUCUCAAGACAUUUUCAGAGCCAUACAAGACAUCUCACAAGCACAAGACUCUGAUGGAGGCAAAUUGAAAUAGAUGCAUAUGAUGAUUCCAUUCAAAUGGACCUCCCUGUAGGCAACCAAAUAAUAUAAGCUUUUAAACUUUUUGGUAAUCAGACAAAUGAUCCCCUUAUGCAAAAGGGACAAUAAUGAUAUCAUAAAACACAAUUUCCUCAUUUCAUUUUCUGCAAAAGAGCCUGUUUUGGACAACAUCAAGGUCUUCAAAUGCCCUGAGACAAAUAAUAACUGAUCAUUAUCCAACAGUAAGUUACAAUACAAAUUGGAGAUCAUAUUUAUUUGGAGUCUACAUCCAAAAGCAAAACCCCACAUGAGGUGAAUUCAUAACAGACUGGAAAGGCUUCAAAAGUAGUUGCUGCUAUAGAAAUUCUUUAGGAAUUCAGACAUGCCCUGGUCCUUGGCGCCCGCAUCCUGCACAAGAUGUUCCCUAGCCAGCACAUAUUGCCCAAUGAUGUGGUGACGUUGCUUUGAAUGCUCUACAACAUUCCUGAACUCUUCCAUGCCCUUGAAGAGAAGCAUGUCAAUCACCUGCAAGUUUUUUCUCAAAUUCAUCAAGAAGAUGCCGGAGAACCACAAUCAUUACAAAUUUCAACUGACAACAUAUUCGUUGACAUAUGUGGUUGCUCUUCUGAGCCAAUAUCAGAAAAAUAUGUCACCAUUAGGCAAAUAAGCAAUGAGUUUCAACAAUUUCUUCAGGCAUGAGGCAGCAACUAAAUCUCUGAUAAACACCAACAUGAAAACUAGACCAUAGUUUUUUUGGGUCUAGCCAAGCCAAUCUCAGGCGUAAAAUAAGAGCUCAUUUGCUAUGCUAUCCUUUGUUCCAUCAACUCAUGCUUGGCUUCAUAUAUUGGCCUUUUGAAAGCAUAGGACUUGUUACAGGCAAUUGAAGAACAAAGUACCAACUAUAAAGAUAAAGUAAUAGGCAAUCAAGGUGGUCAACUUUAACAUUAAACCUCUCAGAAAGCAAAAAGCUUCUGGGCAACACUUUUGGGCAAGCAAAGCUUCUUUCUUUCCUUUUUUUAUAUUAGUUUAAUUAUUAUUAUUAUUGAUAGGAAAAUACAUUAAACAAGCACCUAGAAAAAUGGGGGAGCAUCCCUUGUAUACAGGCUGUAAAAAGACAAUGCCAGUAGCUGAAAAAAAAAGUGGAGCAAACUGAUGCCCUUAGGGAUCAAAAAGAAAUUUCUUAAGAAAUACAAAAAAUUUCUGCUCUUUCUAGAUACAGCAAAGCGAUAGAGAAAGGGCCAGCCUCCAAAAGAUCUUAAACCUCCUAACAAAACUCACAUGCACCAAGCAGUAAGUACUUUCACAGGAGGAAGCACCCAAGAAAUACCAAGAUAGAGAACACCAAUUGAAGGUUGCUCAUUCCAACCAAGUGGUUCUAUGGGAAGCAAUACCAAACAACAUCAUAAAACAAUCCUUCAACAGGUGAUCCUCACACUAACAUCAAACAAAUGUCACUGAUAGAAUUGGCCUGACUAGAUUGGAAUACAUCGCAUUUAUGUAGGUGUCCUACUCCAGUCCACAAAGCGUUGAAUCAAAAGAAGAUUGCAAAGGCAAGCUAAACUUUCAUGGAAAAUCAGACUUCUAAGUGACAGAAAAGGGCUUUCCAAACCUGGUGGUUAGGGGGGGAAGGAAAAAGGCAAGAAUCAAACAACCAAACUAGCCCUUUCUUCAACAAGACAAUUAAGACUAGCAUUCAAAGGAAGGAAAAGGAAAUUGUAAAGAUAAAGAGGAACAUUAGUUACUUCCUUCCACUAUUCCACUAAUAAUUUGAAGGUGUCCCCACAUUUCUUUCCUCAUAUUUUCACCCAAAAAAGAAAGCUCAUAAGUUAAGCUACCUUCACUGUCAAGGAUUUUCACAGGUUCAACCUUGCCACAACAGUAAAAUACUUGAAUGACAAAUUGAACCUCAAGAUGUUAGUUGAGAAUAAAUGUAAAUCAAGAGAUAUAUAAAUAAAAUACCAGGAUGUAUGUGUGCCUGUAUGUUCUACUGGGUCCCCUUUGAUUUUUUGCCAUGCCAAUAUUAAAAGAAUUAGUUAAUUAAUUGAAAGCAUAUUUGAAUUUUCCCAAUUCCUACUAAAUAAUAAAAAGGCUUGCUCUGUUGGCACACCAUGAUGUGAAGCCAAUGGUGGUAUUUGAUUGCUCCUACUUUGAAGUAAACCCGAUUAGUUAAAGCAAACAAGCACUCCUCAACUCAACAAGGCAGUUACCAAAAGCACCUCAAACAAGAUGGGAGGCACAAGAUUAAGUUUCCAAAUUAUGUGUAUUAUGUUAGUUAUAUAUCUUAUAUUUACCUCAUUCCACCAAGUCAAUUGAGCAAGAAAGUCGUUAGGUCAGGUCAUUAAAGUAUAUAUAUAUAUAAAGGUUAAAAGGAUUAUUUUUAAACCUAACAUAUGGCAUCAAGUCACCUAUUUGAAUAGGUUGUAUUUCAUCAUGUGUCCAAGUUACCCAAAAUUGUUUCUCUGUUCUACUGUGUACUAAUCUCAACUAAGCCUUAAUCAAUAAUUUUAUGUUAGCUGCUCAUAUUAGAUUUUUUUUUUUUUUUUGAUAAGUAAAAGUAUUGUAUUACAAAGAGGCGCUAAAAUAGCGGCCCAAGAUGUACAGGAAAGAGACCCCCUUACAACUAAAACAAAAAACUGUCCAACAAGAUAUACAGAAAAAAACAACCCCUCCUCAUCGGAAACCCACCCAAUCAAUGAAAUCUAUUAACGUCGAAGGACCAUAUUUUAUAAACAAUUUAGUCUCCGACUAAAGUAAAUAUACAAAAGAAGUUUUCAUCCUUUGGAUGGAUAGCACAUACUCUUCAAAGGUAACUCUAUUCCUUACCUUCCAAACUGACCAAAACAAGCAUAAAAGGUUUGCUUCCCAAAAUGUCCUGCGCUUUUGACCUACAAAAGACCCCUUCCACCCCAAGAGGGUUUCCCUAACCGAGGAAGGAAACACCCAAGACACUCCAAACAAAGUAAAGAAUAACUUCCACACAUCCCUUGUCUUUUCAUAUUAGAUAUAUCUAUUUUCUUCACAAUAAUGAGUCUUUAAAGAAAAAAUAUCAUUAUGGAUGAGAAAGAUCCAUCUGGAGAACAAGAAUGGAAUAACAGAGCAAGGAAUGCCAACUAAGACCAAAUAAGAGACUCAGAGAAACCGUACUAGAAAUGUCCAUUACACAGAAACAUAACACUUGAAAACAUUCAUUAUGACAAUUCACCUACCAAGGACCUCAGAUGAGCUAUUCCCCCUCGUGUGAAAAUCUUAGCAUUCACUUCUUCCAAAAAGACUGCAUUAUGGCUUCAAUGAGACUUAUAAAAUGACUGGACCAAGGACACUACUCUGGAGCAACAUGACUAACUCCUCAGACUGUGCUCAAUCAACUGGCCACUAAGGCAAUACAACGAAGCAAAAAGAUGCAUUGAGGAAUUGAACUGUCAGCCACAAAAAUUCUUGAACCAUUAUUAGAAAAAGAAGCUUGCAAAUAAUCCACACAAGACUAAAACCUGCCAACCCCACCUCACCCUACCCCAAACCCCAACACCAAUAAUGCCCAACUCAACACCAAAAAGCCUCCCCUCUUCUCACUUUUCCAACCAGCUAAUAAGAUCCCAAUACAAUUAUAAUUUCCCAGCAUUGUUUUGAAACUUGUAUCUCGCCACCACUUUCAUCCAUAGAUUAUAAAGCCUGCCCCAAAGUACCAAUUCCUUUGGCAAGUCUUUCAUCAAGUUAUGAAAUGCUGUAGUGAUACAGUUCAGCCACAAAAAUUCUUAAAGAAUAUUUCAAUGAUAUUGAAAAUAGAAAAGAGUAAAAAAUUUAAAAGAAAUAACAAGAAUAAUAAAAAAAUAACAGUAAUGAUAUCAUUGUUCUCAUGAGAUUCCCAAUGAUCCAAUAAUCUUUGAGAUUGAGGACACAUAGUCAAAACUUUUAAACUAAAAUGCUCGUUUAAAUUUAUAACAUUGAGUUUUAUGUUGAGUUUACCACAAUCGGAUACAAGUUCCUGACAUUACAGUGCUUAUCUCUAUUAAAUUUGAUGCAUUCUAAUGAGUGAGACUCCAUUUAAGUAAUGUAGAUUCUCCAUCUAAAUUUUUCUCAAAACACACCUUGUUCAAUAAUAAAGAUACCUCAGGAAGCACAAACUGCAAUAACUUCAUUUGUUAUAAAGUAGAUUUAUCAACGGCUUCAAGAAAAAAAUCAAAAGUCAGGAGGAGACAAUAAUUUGUAUAGGAAUAUGAUACGCAGCAUGUCCUAAACUAAUAGGAAUUUUCAAAUUCAAUAAGCAACUAUUUAAUUUUUUAACACGGAGACGAAAUCAUAAAUCCUAAUGGGUGAGGCUUAUAAAUUUGAAAAUGGAUUUUCUUGCGUUUUUAACAUAAAUAAUUCUAUGUGGAAAACCAAUUCUUAUUCGAAUUCCCCAACUAAUUGAAACAUUUACAUAAGAAUUAAAAAGGAUUAUAAAGAUGAAAGAUUCUCCAUAUCACAAAAACUAGCCAACUAAGAGCACACAUUACGCACCAAAAUUCAUAAUCCAAAAAGAUGGGUUUCGCAAGAAUUGAAAUACGUAGAGAAUACAUGAAUCAAAACCAACAAUGAAUGAAAUGUAGUGAUUGUUAAAUUCAAAUACACGUAAAUCACAAUGGGACCACCAAUUUCCCCAAUUCAUCCAAACACGCCCUUACCCUCCAUUUGGUUUCCGAGGUAAUUGAGACGAAACAAAAAGGAACAAAAUAAAUAAAAUUUUGAAAAGGCCUCACGCUGUCACGCCUUCGAUCCAAAUGCCUGUAUUAGGUCCAAAUAAGCGGCAAAUUUUUCACUCAAGUUCCAAACAAUGAAAAAAAAUUGAUUUUGAUUAUGAUUUUCCAUUUUUCCCACCUUUUCAGAACAACCAAACAGGACAGGCUUGCAACCAGAUUACAUACCAGAAAAAACGACGCCGCUUUAGAGGGGAAAAGGGACAAGAAAAGCAGAGGGGCAGUACCUUAGUGUUAGUGACGUGGGAGUUCUUGCGGAACUCAGAGGCGAUGAUGGAGCGAAGCUGGGAGACGGUAACGACGUCGUCGAGAUUGUAGAUAUCCAUGAUUUUUGGUAUGGAUCUGCAAACCAUCUUGAAGAAAUCGAAGGUCCGACUCCGAGCCUCUUCCAGAUUCGCUGAGUUCGCUGGAACCCUAACGUUCUUCAGCAUCACCGACGCCAUUUUUCCUCACUGCUCUUCAACCAUUUGCAAGUUCCUCUGAAAUUUAUCUAUAUAGAAUCUCCUAUCUAAACGACGUCGUUUUAUUUUUUUCAUUAUUUAAUUUUUUUUAAUAUAUUUGUAAGUUUUAAGAAAUAUUUAUUUUUUUCUUCUAUAAAUUUUAAAUAUCAAUCAAACACAAAAUCGAUCAUUUUCAAUCUUGAAAAACCUAUAAAUUUUCCUUGAAAUAAUAUUAUUAUUACCAAUUUGUUGAUUUCUUUACUAGGCUCUUAUUUUUAUUAAUUAUUUCUUUGAUUUCAUCUAUUAUCAUAUUAGCCUAUUUAAUAAAAAUUUUGUAACAAAAAUCAAAUUAUCAAUAUAUACGUAAUUUUGAAAUUUCACUCUUUAUUUAUUUAUUUUCAUAUUUCACCAUAUGGAGAUUCCAAGCUCUCAUUUUUGUUGGACUAGAACUCUUUAUAUUUGCCAAGGGACUUCAAUAUGAGUCCUUACUAUGUAAAAGCAAUUUUAAAGGUUUAGAGGUUAACAAAUUUUAUUUUGUAAAUUAAGCAUGGAAAAUUUUAGGGUUCUUAAUAAACCCUUACUAAGAAAACGGAUUCGGAGUUUGACAUAUAUGCAAGCAACACAAAGAUGCAUAAUCAUUAAAUUGAGAAAUGAUCAACUCUAAUGGCGUAGACUUUUGAUACAUCCAAUGACUUCAACCCCAAACUAACUUGACAUUUGGAUAGAGUUAAGUAAUCAUUUUCAACAUUCGAGUUAUGAUUUAAGUUAAGGUUUGCUUAGUUUGAAUUCAAUUUGGGUUAGGCUCGGGUUAAGGUUUGGACAAGGACAACCCAAUUCUAACUUGAAUCAUUUUAUAAUAUUUAUCAUAUAUCUUAUUAUGCUUAAUAAUAUUUAUUUUCUUUUUUAGAUUUUUAAGAAAAAAUAUAAAAUUAUAUCAUAUAUCAUAUACUUUUCAUUUUUUAUUUUUUAGAAAGAUAUAUAAAUUUAUAUAUAUAUAUAUAUAUAUAUAAAGUUUUUUUUAAAGAUUAUUAUAAA